UGCCGGUGAGUGAAGAAGGCCUUCGGGUUGUAAAGCUCUUUUGUCAGGGAAGAAACAGCAGCUCUAACACAGCAUGCGAAUGACGGUACCUGAAGAAUAAGCACCGGCUAACUACGUGCCAGCAGCCGCGGUAAUACGUAGGGUGCAAGCGUUAAUCGGAAUUACUGGGCGUAAAGCGUGCGCAGGCGGUUAUACAAGACAGGUGUGAAAUCCCCGGGCUUAACCUGGGAAUGGCAUCUGUGACUGUAUAGCUAGAGUGUGUCAGAGGGGGGUAGAAUUCCACGUGUAGCAGUGAAAUGCGUAGAGAUGUGGAGGAAUACCAAUGGCGAAGGCAGCCCCCUGGGAUAACACUGACGCUCAUGCACGAAAGCGUGGGGAGCAAACAGGAUUAGAUACCCUGGUAGUCCACGCCCUAAACGAUGCUGACUAGUUGUUCGGGAAUUACUUCCUGAGUAACGUAGCUAACGCGUGAAGUCAGCCGCCUGGGGAGUACGGUCGCAAGAUUAAAACUCAAAGGAAUUGACGGGGACCCGCACAAGCGGUGGAUGAUGUGGAUUAAUUCGAUGCAACGCGAAAAAACUU
Molecule: ribosomal RNA, 582 nt
Filed under: uncultured archaeon
Lineage: Archaea
Description: bacterial SSU rRNA
Rfam family: Bacterial small subunit ribosomal RNA
Source: RNAcentral